This 773-nucleotide ribosomal RNA is filed under the name uncultured bacterium. Its description in RNAcentral is "bacterial SSU rRNA". It matches the Rfam family "Bacterial small subunit ribosomal RNA", at positions 8 to 794 of the family's 1533-position model. The record is from RNAcentral.
AGAGUUUGAUCCUGGCUCAGGACGAACGCUGGCGGCGCGCCUAACACAUGCAAGUCGAACGAGAGAUGAGGAGCUUGCUCUUCAAAUCGAGUGGCGAACGGGUGAGUAACGCGUGAGGAACCUGCCUCAAAGAGGGGGACAACAGUUGGAAACGACUGCUAAUACCGCAUAAGCCCACGGCUCGGCAUCGAGCAGGGGGAAAAGGAGCAAUCCGCUUUGAGAUGGCCUCGCGUCCGAUUAGCUAGUUGGUGAGGUAAUGGCCCACCAAGGCGACGAUCGGUAGCCGGACUGAGAGGUUGAACGGCCACAUUGGGACUGAGACACGGCCCAGACUCCUACGGGAGGCAGCAGUGGGGAAUAUUGCACAAUGGGGGAAACCCUGAUGCAGCGACGCCGCGUGGAGGAAGAAGGUCUUCGGAUUGUAAACUCCUGUUGUUGAGGAAGAUAAUGACGGUACUCAACAAGGAAGUGACGGCUAACUACGUGCCAGCAGCCGCGGUAAAACGUAGGUCACAAGCGUUGUCCGGAAUUACUGGGUGUAAAGGGAGCGCAGGCGGGCGAUCAAGUUGGAAGUGAAAUCCAUGGGCUCAACCCAUGAACUGCUUUCAAAACUGGUCGUCUUGAGUAGUGCAGAAGUAGGCGGAAUUCCCGGUGUAGCGGUGGAAUGCGUAGAUAUCGGGAGGAACACCAGUGGCGAAGGCGGCCUACUGGGCACCAACUGACGCUGAGGCUCGAAAGUGUGGGUAGCAAACAGGAUUAGAUACCCUGGUAGU